GGAAGCGUGGCCGAGUGGUUUAAGGCAACGGUCUUGAAAACCGUCGAUGGGCAACUAUCCGUGAGUUCGAAUCUCACCGCUUCCGCCA
RNAcentral lists this transfer RNA (88 nucleotides) under Ectopseudomonas mendocina. RNAcentral describes it as "tRNA-Ser(tga)". It matches the Rfam family "tRNA". From Rfam's summary of the family: Transfer RNA (tRNA) molecules are approximately 80 nucleotides in length. Their secondary structure includes four short double-helical elements and three loops (D, anti-codon, and T loops). The record is from RNAcentral. Lineage: Bacteria; Pseudomonadati; Pseudomonadota; Gammaproteobacteria; Pseudomonadales; Pseudomonadaceae. RNAcentral also lists the same sequence under 64 other names.